CACCUUUAAACUUAGGGAUGAACGGCUUCAAUGCGGAGGGCAUUUCUUGGUAAAACUUUAAUUCCUUUGAAAAUAACGGCUUACAUACAGUAUACUUGUCAAACUGUUGAAAGGUGGAAUGGCCACCAACUUGGUGUACGAAAGGCCGAAGUGAAACUGUAUGAACUUCGCUUUUCGUAUCUUCCAUUACUUCACACUAUUAGCCUUAGUAUGUAAAGAAGCAGAUUUUAUCGCUUCAUCUUCUCUGUUAAUAUAAACCAUGGACUAAAUGCUGCAAAACAGGUUUAAUUUUUUUAUCCCAAACGUUAAUUUACAAAAUUUCAACGUCUUGUUUAUAUCACCUGACUCUUCACCAGCUUUCCAUGCAAAGAGUCGCGAAUGGGAACGAAUGAGCGUAUCAUAUUCUUGGCAGGGGAGAAUGUGACUCUCACAAUUUACAUAGCUGUUUGUUUGAAACAGUGGUUGUAAGUAUGUAAAGCAGUCUUUUUGCACCUUUAAACUUCAACUUAUUUGAAAAAUAAUAAAAAAUAUUACAUUUCGACGAACUUCAAAAAUAUUCUUAUUUCUUACGCCAGCCCAACUUGUCCUAUUUCAAAAACAUUUUUAUCAGCUCUCCCCCCGGAUUUUAUUACGUACCAUUUAGAAAAAUUGGAUUGUGGGUCAGCAAGAUGGCGUAAUGAUGUUCAUUAUCUUGUAUAUUAAAACUGUGAACAGAUCUGCGUUUUCCUGGUAGUUUCACUGCAAUCUGAGUCGAUUUUCGCACUUUGUAACGGUGAAAGAAAAUGCCAAAAGUUCAUUAUCUAAACACCAUUAGAACUUUUGAUAAAGAUGGAUUCAAAAAAAGAGCUGGGUGUCUGUGCUUUAAGUCGGAAGCAGAAAACGAGGU
Paramuricea clavata is the source of this 886-nucleotide non-coding RNA. NCBI's taxonomy places the organism in Eukaryota, Metazoa, Cnidaria, Anthozoa, Malacalcyonacea, Plexauridae. The record is from the annotation of a GenBank genome assembly.